GAUGAACGCUGGCGGCGUGCCUAAUACAUGCAAGUCGAGCGAACGGACGAGAGGCUUGCUUCUCUGAUGUUAGCGGCGGACGGGUGAGUAACACGUGGAUAACCUACCUAUAAGACUGGGAUAACUUCGGGAAACCGUAGCUAAUACCGGAUAAUAUUUUGAACCGCAUGGUUCAAAAGUGAAAGACGGUCUUGCUGUCACUUAUAGAUGGAUCCGCGCUGCAUUAGCUAGUUGGUAAGGUAACGGCUUACCAAGGCAACGAUGCAUAGCCGACCUGAGAGGGUGAUCGGCCACACUGGAACUGAGACACGGUCCAGACUCCUACGGGGGGCAGCAGUAGGGAAUCUUCCGCAAUGGGCGAAAGCCUGACGGAGCAACGCCGCGUGAGUGAUGAAGGUCUUCGGAUCGUAAAACUCUGUUAUUAGGGAAGAACAUAUGUGUAAGUAACUGUGCACAUCUUGACGGUACCUAAUCAGAAAGCCACGGCUAACUACGUG
Molecule: ribosomal RNA, 497 nt
Filed under: uncultured bacterium
Lineage: Bacteria
Description: partial 16S ribosomal RNA
Rfam family: Bacterial small subunit ribosomal RNA
Source: RNAcentral